This is a regulatory RNA element of Microbacterium hydrocarbonoxydans, 102 nucleotides long. It matches the Rfam family "mraW RNA". NCBI's taxonomy places the organism in Bacteria, Bacillati, Actinomycetota, Actinomycetes, Micrococcales, Microbacteriaceae. The record is from Rfam.
GUUCUGACCACGGCUGUGAUGCCCCGCCGCUCCCGCCCCGACACACUUCCCCGGUGCCGGGUCGAGAAGCGGAGGGGGAUCAGAGCCGAAGGUCUACCCGAG